ACAAAGGAAAAAGUGAAGCUGCCAGCGUGAUCUAGCUUUGGUUAGAGAGCUGAGUUGAAUUAUUCAUGUGAGUAGUGUGUGUUGCUAUUUAACCCUAACUAGGUCAUGCUGUGACAGCUUCACUCCUUCCUAUU
Molecule: microRNA precursor, 134 nt
Filed under: Lupinus albus (white lupine)
Lineage: Eukaryota; Viridiplantae; Streptophyta; Magnoliopsida; Fabales; Fabaceae
Description: microRNA MIR167_1
Rfam family: MIR167 microRNA precursor family
Source: RNAcentral